Long non-coding RNA from Myodes glareolus (Bank vole), 1957 nucleotides. RefSeq lists it as uncharacterized. The record is from RefSeq and is a predicted model, not a curated record. NCBI's taxonomy places the organism in Eukaryota, Metazoa, Chordata, Mammalia, Rodentia, Cricetidae.
AAGGAGAUCUGUGACCCUGACUGACCCUGAUCCUGACUCUCCUUUCUCUGCUUUCCUUGUUCUGCAAUAUCCUCCAAUGUACCCUGUCGUGAUGUCUACAUGCCUGCACACAAGGCCAAAGAAAACUUUCUGCCAUGUAUGCUAGUUUGCUCUGGCAUUUUAUCACAGCCACAGAAAGCAAACGCAGUGAUGCUAGCCAGUUAGUCAACAGGCCCGCUAAAAAUGGUUUCUGGCGCUUGGGGAAGGCUAGAGAAGAAGAGAGAGAUAAGAUAUCCAUAAAUAGGAGAGUUAGCACCCACUGCAAGGCAGACUAGAGCUGCCUGGUGGUAAAGGCUCAGCUGGUGGUAAAAGCAACAAGGACACCAGAAGCUCGGAGGAAGAGAAAUCAGUGCCCACCAGAAAGGGACAGAGAAGUUUCACAGCAAAGACCCCCCACAGCCGAGGAUCGCUGUCCAGUGAGAAAUGGCUUUGUACUUCAGUCCAGCGUACGUUCCCUGAUAAAGAGAACAAGAAAAGGCCCACAAAACAGCAGCAUGCAUUCUCCUCUGUGCUAGUUCUUCCCGUAAAAGAAUUAAUAAAUAACACGUUGGGAUUAGUUUUACAGCCCACAGGCAGACCGAGAUCCAAAGUUUAAAGAACUGUUCUUUGGUAACGUCUGAGUUGCAGUCUAUCUGAAGGCAGUGGAGCGGUCUGGUUUAUGAAUUCAGGAAGGAGACAGCCUCAUCAGAAGACGCUAAUCCAAGCUGGGCGUCAUGACUCACAUCUGCAAUCCUAGCACUAAAGUGCUGGACACGGGACGGGUUGAAUUCCACCUACUGCAAGACAACCCUCAUUUCAGAGCUGAUUCCUGGACCACCCAAAUGCAUCUGGUUCUCUUCUUUGCAAUAGGGAGUCAAGAGGCUGCGGAAUCCUCCUCUGGGGCCAGGCGUGUAUCACACAGGUGUCCCUUUGAGGAAGCCCAGAGAGGCCACAGCAUGAAGCUGUGGACGUGACGCCUGGAGGGUGUUGGAGACCCCAGGACAUUAGAGGUGCCAGAGCCAUGACAAGGAGAGCUCGCACAGGGAGUGGGGUCAGCCCAAGAAAGAGGAUGCUGUGGUCAGCAAUGCUGGAAGAACAGAGCCCUAAACUCUUUGACAGCAGACACGGGGUUACAGGAUUUGGGAUUUGCCCUACUAGGUUUUGAUCUUGAUUUGCUACAGUAUGUCUUCAUUAUGCCCCCUUUCCUCCCGUUUGGAACAGUGAUGUUUAUUCUUUGCCACUGUAUGUUGGAAGUGUGUAGUUUGCUUGUUUUUUUUUUUAUUUUACAGGGGGUUACAAUUAAGAGAUUGACUUGCAUCUCAACAGAGACUUUGGACCUUGCGACCGUAUUGAGACUGAAAGACUAUGGGAAGUUUUGACGGCAGACUAAAUGCACUUUGUGUUACGAUACGUCUACAGGUCUAUGAUGUUCAGGGAGUGGAAUGCGGCAUUCGAAUGAGAACGGCCCCCAUAGUCUCAUAGAUUUGGGUGCUUUGGUCCCCAUUUAUUGAAAGUCUUUGGAAAGGAAAAAGGAGGUGCAGCCUUAUUGGAAGGGUGUGUCACUGGGGACAGGUUUUGAGGUUUCAAAAACCCAUGCCGCUCCCAGUUGGAACCCCACCACCGCUGCCUCCUUGAGCUCACAGAUCAGGAUGUGAGCUCUCAGCCACUGUCCCAGCACUGUGCCUGCCUGCCUGACACCAUCCUUUUUGCCGUGAUGUUCAUGGGUUCACCCUCUGGAAGUAUAAGCCCCAAUAAACUCUUUCUUCUGUAAGCUGCCUUGGUCAUGGUGUCUUAGCACAGCAAUAGGAAAGCAGCGGAGACAAAUGGUGUUUCAGGAUCCAAGGCUAGAUGCUUAUUCCUCAGGGGGAAAAAAAAGCCAGUCAGUCGUGGGGCUGAAGAAAGGUUGACUUAAGUAGUCAAAGGAUGGAGAAGGGAGAGC